UGAGGAAUAUUGGUCAAUGGGCUUACGCCUGAACCAGCCAAGUCGUGUGAGGGAAGACUGCCCUAUGGGUUGUAAACCUCUUUUGUCAGGGAGCAACGCCGGCUACGUGUAGCCGGACUUGAGAGUACCUGAAGAAAAAGCAUCGGCUAACUCCGUGCC
This 159-nucleotide ribosomal RNA is filed under the name uncultured bacterium. Its description in RNAcentral is "partial 16S ribosomal RNA". It matches the Rfam family "Bacterial small subunit ribosomal RNA", at positions 355 to 509 of the family's 1533-position model. The record is from RNAcentral.